AUGCUCUUCUCAGCUCUUCCCCAAGAGAAGGAUCUGAGUAGUACACUCCAUGGCCACAACAGUGUUCAAAGUGUUGUUUGUCACUGUUCACAAUUGUUUGGCCUUGGAAAUCUGACAAUGGCUCCCGUAACAAGGAAGGACACAGUUGGGAUUCUGCACAUCUCCACCUUCAACCUUCAUUGUGGAGCAAAAGAAACUGAUACACGGACCAUUCUCUUCUUGCCUGGAAGUACUUACUUCCCUGAAUCCAGAGUUAACUGCCAUAUUUCUGCUCUCAGAAGAACUUCAAACCUUCCCUGUUACUGUCACCUCGCUCCUUUCCAAGGCAAGAGAUUUAAUGAGCUCACUCCAGACGUGGGAAAACCUUAAUGCAAGGCAGAGAGCAAGCCCAGGAGGAAUGGGAAACAAAGUAGGAGAAUUUUGAUGUUGUAGAGGAGGCUGAAGUAGAGAAAGGUCCAGAGUAGUAAAGGAAGGAGGAGGGGGCCUCUGAAAAGGGAUAGAGAUCCAGUUUGGUCUGAGGAGGACAGCAGCAGAGCAGGCUCCCGAGGCUGCGCAAGAUCAGUGACAGGUGUGUGAACUGGAUUCAUGGGUGGUGUGUGCAGAAAGGAAUUAUAAGUUCUUCAAACCCCCCACAUCUUCUAAAUUUGCCAAGGUUAAUUGGAGAGUGAAUCAAGGUCCACAACGUUUUAGCUAUAAAAAUAGAACUGCUCAUGCCAAGUAAAAGUUUUUGCUGAGGAUGCAUCUAGGAGGCAAUACUGUAAAUAGUCCCUCCUCAAGAGAUAUAUGUCACAAAUUUUGAGUUUGGAAAGAAUUUUUGUUUCCCUCAAUUGUGACCCUGACAUUUGUGGGCCCCGGGGCAAGAGAAUAAGUGGAAGCCCAUAUACAAUAGCUCUAAAUGUUUAAAAGUUAUAAAUUCAUCUAACAGACUAUUUUUUUUUCUUUUUCUUUUUUUUUUUUUUUUUGAGACGGAGUCUCACUCUGUCGCCCAGGCUGGAGUGCAGUGGCCGGAUCUCAGCUCACUGCAAGCUCCGCCUCCCGGGUUUACGCCAUUCUCCUGCCUCAGCCUCCCGAGUAGCUGGGACUACAGGCGCCCGCCGCCACGCCCGGCUAGUUUUUUGUAUUUUUUAGUAGAGACGGGGUUUCACUGUGUUAGCCAGGAUGGUCUCGAUCUCCCGACCUCGUGAUCCUCCCGUCUCGGCCUCCCAAAGUGCUGGGAUUACAGGCUUGAGCCACCGUGCCCGGCCCUAACAGACUAUUAAAUAAAACUAAUUCUAUCUUCCUACCAUGGCAAAUAUAACUUCAUUAUGCAAAAUAAAAAUAUGUAUAAAGGUAUCUUAUGUGGCUGUUUGCCAAAUAUUAAAGGCAACUGAAUUUAAUUGUUAAUAAGUUCUGUUCUGGGUGUUCGGUUAUUAAGAUAGUGAUGUUUAGAUGAGUAAUAAUAUCAGGACAUAAUUAUUCUAUGAUUACAUAUUUAUUGCAAAAAUGUUUUGGCCUUCAUUUUAGCAAAAUUACUAAUUAUAUUGCCAUAAUCAUAAUUUUACUUAUUUUAUAUUCUAUUGACAAC
Long non-coding RNA from Macaca mulatta (Rhesus monkey), 1564 nucleotides. NCBI's taxonomy places the organism in Eukaryota, Metazoa, Chordata, Mammalia, Primates, Cercopithecidae. The record is from Ensembl.